This 468-nucleotide ribosomal RNA is filed under the name uncultured bacterium. RNAcentral's name for it is "partial 16S ribosomal RNA". It matches the Rfam family "Bacterial small subunit ribosomal RNA", at positions 28 to 507 of the family's 1533-position model. The record is from RNAcentral.
GACGAACGCUGGCGGCGUGCUUAACACAUGCAAGUCGAACGGAAAGGCCCUUCUUUUGUGGGGUGCUCGAGUGGCGAACGGGUGAGUAACACGUGAGUAACCUGCCCUUGACUUUGGGAUAACUUCAGGAAACUGGGGCUAAUACCGGAUAGGAGCUCCUGCUGCAUGGUGGGGGUUGGAAAGUUUCGGCGGUUGGGGAUGGACUCGCGGCUUAUCAGCUUGUUGGUGGGGUAGUGGCUUACCAAGGCUUUGACGGGUAGCCGGCCUGAGAGGGUGAACGGCCACAUUGGGACUGAGAUACGGCCCAGACUCCUACGGGAGGCAGCAGUGGGGAAUAUUGCACAAUGGGCGGAAGCCUGAUGCAGCAACGCCGCGUGCGGGAUGACGGCCUUCGGGUUGUAAACCGCUUUCGCCUGUGACGAAGCGUGAGUGACGGUAAUGGGUAAAGAAGCACCGGCUAACUACGUG